GACGACCGCUGGCGGCGUGCUUAACACAUGCAAGUCGAACGGAAAGGCCCUGCUUUUGUGGGGUGCUCGAGUGGCGAACGGGUGAGUAACACGUGAGUAACCUGCCCUUGACUUUGGGAUAACUUCAGGACACUGGGGCUAAUACCGGAUAGGAGCUCCUGCUGCAUGGUGGGGGUUGGAAAGUUUCGGCGGUUGGGGAUGGACUCGCGGCUUAUCAGCUUGUUGGUGGGGUAGUGGCUUACCAAGGCUUUGACGGGUAGCCGGCCUGAGAGGGUGACCGGCCACAUUGGGACUGAGAUACGGCCCAGACUCCUACGGGAGGCAGCAGUGGGGAAUAUUGCACAAUGGGAGGAAGCCUGAUGCAGCAACGCCGCAUGCGGGAUGACGGCCUUCGGGUUGUAAACCGCUUUCGCCUGUGACGAAGCGUGAGUGACGGUAAUGGGUAAAUAAGCACCGGCUAACUACGUG
Molecule: ribosomal RNA, 468 nt
Filed under: uncultured bacterium
Lineage: Bacteria
Description: partial 16S ribosomal RNA
Rfam family: Bacterial small subunit ribosomal RNA
Source: RNAcentral